Planococcus citri (citrus mealybug) is the source of this 1969-nucleotide long non-coding RNA. RefSeq lists it as uncharacterized. Lineage: Eukaryota; Metazoa; Arthropoda; Insecta; Hemiptera; Pseudococcidae. The record is from RefSeq and is a predicted model, not a curated record. The transcript is spliced from 3 exons.
UAAAUAGAUAGAUAGAGGCGUUGCCAAUGAUGGGAGGAUAAGAAUAUUUCCCUAGUAGGUCAGGAUGAAUCUAACUCCCUAAGAGAUGUAAUAUAUCACCUUUUAAAACAGUACUUACCCGCUGCUAGCUCAGCUCUUACAACACCAAUAUGUAUAAAUUUAAACAGAUUUAGUCGAGUUUACCUUGUAUUAAUUCGAACCGCGCGCGAAAUAAGAACACACGAUAAACACGAAUAGUGUAUUAUAAUUUUGGAAUAAAAUUACAACACGAAACUUAAGUCUAAAACAUAUAAAACUCUACGCGUAUAACCAAUAUAUAUUCCACCGAAUAGUGGCGUAAGUAGGAUCGCUUUUACCCACCUACGUGUAACUAUCAAAUUGCCCGCGUUGGGUAGCGAAUUUAGGACUUAAGUUUAAACGCGAAUACUCUCCCUUAAACACGAACGUUAAGGCAGAGGACCUGGGACUCAAGCACAACUCUUACGUAGGAGUGAGUGGCCUUAUUACUUUUCCGCGGUCAGACCUACCAGACGAAGCGCGAAUCGACAAGUGAAGAUCAAUUCCAUCUCAACUUGGCUUCUAGCCUCGAGUCGAGAAGGAAUUGAGCUUUACGAACUUGUGAGCUUUUCACAUCUGCCCUUAAUGGAACGAUGUGAAAACACCUCUUGGGUGGUUCCCACGUACUUAACACCUUACCUAAGUGCAUCGAGUAUAUGCUUUCAUCUACGUAAAGUACUGUAGAAUCGAACUAUUGAUUGGAUUCUCCAGUACUUCCUUUAGAUGAAAGAUUUAUAAUCCCACUGAGAGAGAUACGAUGAAUAUCCCUGUCUAGCCAGUGAAGGCAUAUUGUCCCCUUACAUUUGCCCCUAACGUGGGUUUACUUCUAAAGUAUCCCCUGAGGAAAUGUAGAGGAAAGCACGGAAAUUUUGAAAAAAGGUGACAUUGUGCUUCACUGGAUGUGACCCUAUUGCCCCCCGUACUUUGCUUGAUUGAUGCGGGGAAUAGUAAUCCCAAAAUAAAUUUUGAAACUCUUUGGUUUUUAUUAUAAUUCCAAAAGUGAGGUGAAUUUUGAGUGUGCUGGUGAGUUGACUCUUACUGACCAAGAGUAACUACAAUUGAUCAUCAAUAUUUGACCGAAGUCGAAGAUAUCAAUAAACCAAUCAGAUGCUACCUUUGAUCUGGUCACUCCACAGCAGGGUCAUGGCCGAAAUGGUAAGUAUUUAAGUACGAUUUAAUCUUUGAGGGGGAGGGUUAAUCUAAAAGGUACCCUUCCUCAAUUUUAUGAUUUCAGGAGAAGAUGAAAAAAGCUCAAGAAGUUCGUGGUUGUUUGGCUUUGUUGUCUUUGGAUAGUCUGACCAAGAAUUUUUGAAGAAAAAAUUGCUGGUGUAUUUUGGUCAACGACGAUGGCAAGAGAAUUACUUUGUUUAUCAAAAACUAAAGAUAAGUACAAAAACAUAUUUACAUUUUUAUUAAAUAAUGUAAAAUUUAAGAGCAUUUUUGUUUCUUAGGAUUAAUCAGUCUAAUUUAAACACAUGAUCGAUUUAAAAUAUCUGUACAUUUUUUAUUUCUAAAAAAAAAUUUUAAAGUUAUGAAAUAAAUUAAAUAAAAAAUGUUGUUUUUGUUUAGGACCAGUUCAGAGAAAGAUGGGUGAAACUUAAAAUAGGAUUGAGCCAAAGUUGAACCAGUCUGUUGGGAUAUUUUUCGUAUUUACAAUAAGUAAGAAGACAAAGAAGAUUUCCUUAACUAAUAAUGCACAGAUCUUUUUUCUUGGCUCAUGGACUUCUUUUCCAGGUUGUAUUUUUUCAUAGAAAAUAAUUUUAGAUAAAAAUUAAAAAUAAAAUUUGAGUAAACUUAUGCCAUUUUUGUUCCACAGGAAGACAAAGAUAGCUAGAUUUUUGAAAGGAAUGUUAUCCGUCUACGGUCUGAGUCAACAUGGCCUUCUGUGCCCUGAAUGUGAUAUCUUUGUUAA